AGAGUUUGAUCAUGGCUCAGAUUGAACGCUGGCGGCAUGCCUAACACAUGCAAGUCGAACGGAAACGAUGCUAGCUUGCUAGCAGGCGUCGAGUGGCGGACGGGUGAGUAAUAUAUAGGGAUCUGCCUAAUAGUGGGGGACAACGUGUGGAAACGCACGCUAAUACCGCAUACGCUCUACGGAGGAAAGUGGGGGAUCUUCGGACCUCAUGCUAUUAGAUGAACCUAUACCGGAUUAGCUUGUUGGUGAGGUAAUGGCUCACUAAGGCGACGAUCCGUAGCUGGUUUGAGAGAAUGAUCAGCCACACUGGGACUGAGACACGGCCCAGACUCCUACGGGAGGCAGCAGUGGGGAAUAUUGCACAAUGGACGAAAGUCUGAUGCAGCAAUGCCGCGUGUGUGAAGAAGGCCUUCGGGUUGUAAAGCACUUUCAGAUGUGAGGAAAAGCAGUCUAUUAAUACUAGAUUGCCGUGACGUUAACAUCAGAAGAAGGACCGGCUAACUCCGUGCCAGCAGCCGCGGUAAUACGGAGGGUCCAAGCGUUAAUCGGAAUUACUGGGCGUAAAGCGCGCGUAGGCGGAUAAUUAAGUCAGAUGUGAAAUCCCUGGGCUCAACCUAGGAACUGCAUUUGAUACUGGUUAUCUAGAGUAUGGUAGAGGUGAGUGGAAUUUCAGGUGUAGCGGUGAAAUGCGUAGAGAUCUGAAGGAACAUCAGUGGCGAAGGCGACUCACUGGGCCAUUACUGACGCUGAGGUGCGAAAGCGUGGGUAGCAAACAGGAUUAGAUACCCUGGUAGUCCACGCCCUAAACGAUGUCAACUAGGUGUGUGAGAGUCUAACUCUUGCGUAUCGAAGCUAACGCGAUAAGUUGACCGCCUGGGGAGUACGGUCGCAAGACUAAAACUCAAAUGAAUUGACGGGGGCCCGCACAAGCGGUGGAGCAUGUGGUUUAAUUCGAUGCAACGCG
Molecule: ribosomal RNA, 964 nt
Filed under: uncultured Piscirickettsiaceae bacterium
Lineage: Bacteria; Pseudomonadati; Pseudomonadota; Gammaproteobacteria; Thiotrichales; Piscirickettsiaceae
Description: bacterial SSU rRNA
Rfam family: Bacterial small subunit ribosomal RNA
Source: RNAcentral